Molecule: non-coding RNA, 46 nt
Organism: Helobdella robusta
Lineage: Eukaryota; Metazoa; Annelida; Clitellata; Rhynchobdellida; Glossiphoniidae
Source: Rfam
ACAAAGGUUCUUUUCAGAGCCACCCAAGCUAAAAAGGGCUUAAAAU